GGUGCAAGCGUUGUUCGGAUUUACUGGGCGUAAAGGGCGCGUAGGCGGCAUGACAAGUCACUUGUGAAAUCUCCGGGCUUAACUCGGAACGGCCAAGUGAUACUGUCAAGCUAGAGUGCAGAAAGGGCAAUCGGAAUUCUUGGUGUAGCGGUGAAAUGCGUAGAUAUCAAGAGGAACACCUGAGGCGAAGGCGGGUUGCUAGGCUGACACUGACGCUGACAGCGCGAAAGCCAGGGGAGCAAACGGG
RNAcentral lists this ribosomal RNA (247 nucleotides) under uncultured bacterium. Its description in RNAcentral is "partial 16S ribosomal RNA". It matches the Rfam family "Bacterial small subunit ribosomal RNA", at positions 531 to 776 of the family's 1533-position model. The record is from RNAcentral.